AGGUGACCUGCGGAAGGUCAUUACCGAGUGCGGGUCCUUUGGGCCCAACCUCCCAUCCGUGUCUAUUGUACCCUGUUGCUUCGGCGGGCCCGCCGCUUGUCGGCCGCCGGGGGGGCGCCUCUGCCCCCCGGGCCCGUGCCCGCCGGAGACCCCAACACGAACCCUGUCUGAAAGCGUGCAGUCUGAGUCGAUCGUUUGCAAUCAGUUAAAACUUUCAACAAUGGAUCUCUUGGUUCCGGCAUCGAUGAAGAACGCAGCGAAAUGCGAUAACUAAUGUGAAUUGCAGAAUUCAGUGAAUCAUCGAGUCUUUGAACGCACAUUGCACCCCCUGGUAUUCCGGGGGGUAUGCCUGUCCGAGCGUCAUUGCUGCCCUCAAGCACGGCUUGUGUGUUGGGUCGUCGUCCCCCCCCGGGGGACGGGCCCGAAAGGCAGCGGCGGCACCGCGUCCGGUCCUCGAGCGUAUGGGGCUUUGUCACACCGCUCUUGUAGGCCCGGCCGGCUGCUGGCCGACGCUGAAAAGCAACCAACUAUUUCUCCAGGUUGACCUCGGAUCAGGUAGGGAUACCCGCUGAACUUAAGCAUAUCAAUAAGCGGAGGA
This 598-nucleotide ribosomal RNA is filed under the name uncultured Aspergillus. RNAcentral's name for it is "eukaryotic LSU rRNA". The stretch from base 210 to 363 matches the Rfam family "5.8S ribosomal RNA". Lineage: Eukaryota; Fungi; Ascomycota; Eurotiomycetes; Eurotiales; Aspergillaceae. The record is from RNAcentral.